Molecule: ribosomal RNA, 465 nt
Filed under: Vreelandella stevensii
Lineage: Bacteria; Pseudomonadati; Pseudomonadota; Gammaproteobacteria; Oceanospirillales; Halomonadaceae
Description: partial 16S ribosomal RNA
Rfam family: Bacterial small subunit ribosomal RNA
Source: RNAcentral
CCUACGGGUGGCAGCAGUGGGGAAUAUUGGACAAUGGGGGGAACCCUGAUCCAGCCAUGCCGCGUGUGUGAAGAAGGCCCUCGGGUUGUAAAGCACUUUCAGUGAGGAAGAACGCCUGGUGGUUAAUACCCAUCAGGAAAGACAUCACUCACAGAAGAAGCACCGGCUAACUCCGUGCCAGCAGCCGCGGUAAUACGGAGGGUGCGAGCGUUAAUCGGAAUUACUGGGCGUAAAGCGCGCGUAGGUGGCUUGAUAAGCCGGUUGUGAAAGCCCCGGGCUCAACCUGGGAACGGCAUCCGGAACUGUCAAGCUAGAGUGCAGGAGAGGAAGGUAGAAUUCCCGGUGUAGCGGUGAAAUGCGUAGAGAUCGGGAGGAAUUCCAGUGGCGAAGGCGGCCUUCUGGACUGACACUGACACUGAGGUGCGAAAGCGUGGGUAGCAAACAGGAUUAGAUACCCUGGUAGUC